CAACUAUCUGAGAAAUGCUUGGAAUCUUAUCUCAAAGAGAGGAUGGGGGCAAACUGAGAUUACAGUUUCUCAUUUAAGGGAUGACAUAAAUUCCCAGUACAAAUCUUUCCUGGAGUUAACAUUUCAGAACAGAUUUUAAUUUAGGUGCUCAUCAGGAUAUCAAUCCAAAAAGUAGAAAAAGAAGAGAGAGAAUUCCAGUAAAACCAACUCCUCAUAUAAAAUCCAAAUUAAAUCUGAAGGGGCAGGAAAAAAGUGCACAAAUCCAAUUAAGCAGUUGAUGCCAAAACCUGCGCUCCUGGCGAAAUGCAUCAUGCAGCACGUCAAGUUGCCAGCACCAUAGAGAAGAGGGAAGUGAAGGAUAGAUGGGCACAGGAGGAAGAAGCAGAGCUCAGACUUUCUUUGAUCUAUUCCAGGUGGAGCUUUUCUGACCCCAGGCAUAGCAGAUCAAAGAGAAGAGUCAGAAUGCAGAUCACUUGAGUAUUUCAUGAUCCUAAAAAAUAUUGCCACAAUAGUUUUCCAGUUUUUUUUAUUUUGAAAAUAUGCUCACUUUACAUAUAACCUGACAUUGGUUAUUACUGGAACCAGAUGAUCAAAAAUUAUUUAUCCCAUUAUUUUAUUCAUCCCCUUCAGGAAAGAGUUAUCUCUACAAUUUCUUACUUGUUGUAUAUGUACAAUUUAAAAUAAAGAGAAAAGAUA
Non-coding RNA from Chrysemys picta bellii (western painted turtle), 696 nucleotides. NCBI's taxonomy places the organism in Eukaryota, Metazoa, Chordata, Testudines, Emydidae. The record is from RefSeq and is a predicted model, not a curated record.